This 497-nucleotide ribosomal RNA is filed under the name uncultured bacterium. RNAcentral describes it as "partial 16S ribosomal RNA". It matches the Rfam family "Bacterial small subunit ribosomal RNA", at positions 28 to 507 of the family's 1533-position model. The record is from RNAcentral.
GAUGAACGCUGGCGGCGUGCCUAAUACAUGCAAGUCGAGCGAACAGACGAGGAGCUUGCUCCUCUGACGUUAGCGGCGGACGGGUGAGUAACACGUGGAUAACCUACCUAUAAGACUGGGAUAACUUCGGGAAACCGGAGCUAAUACCGGAUAACAUGUUGAACCGCAUGGUUCAACAGUGAAAGACGGUCUUGCUGUCACUUAUAGAUGGAUCCGCGCCGCAUUAGCUAGUUGGUAAGGUAACGGCUUACCAAGGCAACGAUGCGUAGCCGACCUGAGAGGGUGAUCGGCCACACUGGAACUGAGACACGGUCCAGACUCCUACGGGAGGCAGCAGUAGGGAAUCUUCCGCAAAGGGCGAAAGUCUGACGGAGCAACGCCGCGUGAGUGAAGAAGGUCUUCGGAUCGUAAAACUCUGUUAUUAGGGAAGAACAAAUGUGUAAGUAACUAUGCACGUCUUGACGGUACCUAAUCAGAAAGCCACGGCUAACUACGUG